Molecule: non-coding RNA, 44 nt
Filed under: Trypanosoma brucei brucei
Lineage: Eukaryota; Euglenozoa; Kinetoplastea; Trypanosomatida; Trypanosomatidae
Source: RNAcentral
AAAUCAAAACAUUCGUGAUCUGAUAAUAAAGAUGUGUGAUAAAU